GACGAACGCUGGCGGCGUGCUUAACACAUGCAAGUCGAACGGAAAGGCCCCUUUGGGGGUACUCGAGUGGCGAACGGGUGAGUAACACGUGAGUAACCUGCCCUUGACUUCGGGAUAACUUCAGGAAACUGGGGCUAAUACCGGAUAGGAAUCCUUGCUGCAUGGUGGGGGUUGGAAAGCUUUGGGGGUUUUGGUUGGCCUGGGGGCGUAGCAGGUUGUGGGUGGGGGUGGGGGUUACCAAGGCGUUGACGGGUAGCGGGCCAGAGAGGGCGACGGGCCACACUGGGACUGAGAGACGGCCCAGACGCCUACGGGAGGCAGCAGUGGGGAACAUUGCACAAUGGGCGGCAGCUUGAUGCAGCAACGCCGCGUGCGGGAUGACGGCCUUCGGGUUGUAAACCGCGUUCAGCAGGGGCGAAGCGUGUGGUGACGGUACCUGCAGAAGAAGCACCGGCUAACUACGUG
RNAcentral lists this ribosomal RNA (465 nucleotides) under uncultured bacterium. RNAcentral describes it as "partial 16S ribosomal RNA". It matches the Rfam family "Bacterial small subunit ribosomal RNA", at positions 28 to 507 of the family's 1533-position model. The record is from RNAcentral.